UGGGGAAUAUUGCACAAUGGGGGAAACCCUGAUGCAGCGACGCCGCGUGAACGAAGAAGGUAUUCGUAUCGUAAAGUUCUGUCCUAUGGGAAGAUAAUGACAGUACCAUAGAAGAAAGCUCCGGCUAAAUACGUGCCAGCAGCCGCGGUAAUACGUAUGGAGCGAGCGUUGUCCGGAAUUAUUGGGCGUAAAGGGUACGCAGGCGGUUUAAUAAGUCGAAUGUUAAAGAUCGGGGCUCAACCCCGCAAAGCAUUGGAAACUGAUAAACUUGAGUAGUGGAAAGGAAAGUGGAAUUCCUAGUGUAGUGGUGAAAUACGUAGAUAUUAGGAGGAAUACCAGUAGCGAAGGCGACUUUCUGGACACAAACUGACGCUGAGGUACGAAAGCGUGGGGAGCAAACAGG
Molecule: ribosomal RNA, 403 nt
Filed under: bacterium
Lineage: Bacteria
Description: partial 16S ribosomal RNA
Rfam family: Bacterial small subunit ribosomal RNA
Source: RNAcentral